Molecule: ribosomal RNA, 800 nt
Filed under: Podosphaera xanthii
Lineage: Eukaryota; Fungi; Ascomycota; Leotiomycetes; Helotiales; Erysiphaceae
Description: eukaryotic LSU rRNA
Rfam family: Eukaryotic large subunit ribosomal RNA
Source: RNAcentral
AGUAACGGCGAGUGAAGCGGUAACAGCUCAAAUUUGAAAUCUGGCUCCUCGGGGCCCGAAUUGUAAUUUGUAGAAGAUGCUUUGGGUCUGGGCCUGGCCUAAGUUCCUUGGAACAGGACGUCGUAGAGGGUGAGAAUCCCGUAUGCGGCUGGCGCCCGUGCCCGUGUAAAGCUCUUUCAACGAGUCGAGUUGUUUGGGAAUGCAGCUCUAAAUGGGUGGUAAAUUUCAUCUAAAGCUAAAUAUUGGCCAGAGACCGAUAGCGCACAAGUAGAGUGAUCGAAAGAUGAAAAGCACUUUGGAAAGAGAGUUAAACAGUACGUGAAAUUGUUGAAAGGGAAGCGCUGGCAACCAGACUUGGGCGCUGUUGAUCCGCUAGGGUUCUCUCUAGGGCACUCGGCAGUGCGCAGGCCAGCAUCGGUUUGGGGGGUUGGAGAAUGGCUGGUGGAAUGUGGCUGUCUUCGGGCAGUGUUAUAGCCACCGGUGGCAUGCAGCCUCCCCGGACCGAGGACCGCGCUUCGGCUAGGAUGCUGGCGUAAUGGUUGUCAGCGACCCGUCUUGAAACACGGACCAAGGAGUCUAACAUCUAUGCGAGUGUUUGGGUGUUAAACCCAUACGCGGAAUGAAAGUGAACGUAGGUGAGAACCCGCAAGGGUGCAUCAUCGACCGAUCCUGAUGUCUUCGGAUGGAUUUGAGUAAGAGCAUAGCUGUUGGGACCCGAAAGAUGGUGAACUAUGCCUGAAUAGGGUGAAGCCAGAGGAAACUCUGGUGGAGGCUCGCAGCGGUUCUGACGUGCAAAUCGA